GGGGGGUGCAAGCGUUAUUCGGAAUCACUGGGCGUAAAGAGCGCGUAGGCGGUCUCUUAAGUCAGAUGUGAAAGCCCGGGGCUCAACCCCGGAAGUGCAUUUGAAACGAAGGGACUUGAGUAUGGGAGAGGGAAGUGGAAUUCCUGGUGUAGCGGUGAAAUGCGUAGAUAUCAGGAGGAACACCGGUGGCGAUGGCGACUUCCUGGACCAAUACUGACGCUGAGGCGCGAAGGCGUGGGGAGCAAACAGGGAUUAGAUACCCUGGUAGUCCACGCAGUAAACGUUGAACACUAGGUGUAGCGGGUAUUGACCCCCCUGCUGUGCCGCAGCUAACGCAUUAAGUGUUCCGCCUGGGAGUACGGCCGCAAGGCUA
RNAcentral lists this ribosomal RNA (373 nucleotides) under uncultured organism. Its description in RNAcentral is "partial 16S ribosomal RNA". It matches the Rfam family "Bacterial small subunit ribosomal RNA", at positions 527 to 896 of the family's 1533-position model. The record is from RNAcentral.